RNAcentral lists this long non-coding RNA (246 nucleotides) under Daucus carota (carrot). Its description in RNAcentral is "long non-coding RNA (DCAR_LNC006163)". The record is from RNAcentral. Lineage: Eukaryota; Viridiplantae; Streptophyta; Magnoliopsida; Apiales; Apiaceae.
CAGUUCUUGUUAAUAAUUUGGGAGAUAAAAUGAUCAAUCCAAACGAUCAGUUCAUCAAAGAUAAUGCACAACUGAAAUCUAAUAGUGACGAUGACAAGAGCGCAACUAACGAAAUGGUAACAAUCAGUAUACCCAGUUUAAGUUAAAUUAUUUGUGUGUGACGUUUGUUGGUCUGCAGGAUGAUGUUGAAGGGCAUAAUGAUUGUGAGACGGACGACAAUUCUGUGAAGGAGCUCGUGAAGAACGU